This 74-nucleotide transfer RNA is filed under the name Klebsiella phage KP12. Its description in RNAcentral is "tRNA-Phe". It matches the Rfam family "tRNA". Rfam says of the family: Transfer RNA (tRNA) molecules are approximately 80 nucleotides in length. Their secondary structure includes four short double-helical elements and three loops (D, anti-codon, and T loops). Further hydrogen bonds mediate the characteristic L-shaped molecular structure. tRNAs have two regions of fundamental functional importance: the anti-codon, which is responsible for specific mRNA codon recognition, and the 3' end, to which the tRNAs corresponding amino acid is attached (by aminoacyl-tRNA synthetases). tRNAs cope with the degeneracy of the genetic code in two manners: having more than one tRNA (with a specific anti-codon) for a particular amino acid; and 'wobble' base-pairing, i.e. permitting non-standard base-pairing at the 3rd anti-codon position. The record is from RNAcentral. Lineage: Duplodnaviria; Heunggongvirae; Uroviricota; Caudoviricetes. RNAcentral also lists the same sequence under 1 other name.
GGGUCGGUAGCUCAGUUUGGUAGAGCACUUGAUUGAAGAUCAUGGUGUCGGUGGUUCGAAUCCACCCCGUCCCG